UUGGUCAACAGACAAAAGAUUAUGUUUGAAAGAAGGAAUAUAAAGAACAUUAUGUAACUCAAGAUCAGGUAAAAUUAAUACACUUCCUAAACUGUAAACUUUGACUUUAUAAGAAUUUGGUAGUGUAACUUGAAUAGGGAAAGGAAGUUGUUUGAAAUUAUUUAGAAGUGUUUUAUCAUGAGUCAUAUAUUGUGAGGCUCAUGAAUCAAUUAUCCAAAACUUGGAUGUGAUAGUUGUAAAACAACAAAAUAAAGGUAUGAAAAGCAGCACAUUUACCCACAAAGUUGGCAUUUGCAUUAGCAUUAGAACCUGAAGUACUUAUGUUUUCAACCUGCACAGAUUGUGUCAUCUGAAUCAGCUGCUCACACUAUUCUUUUGUGAACCCCUGUGGAUUCAUUAGGCUAGGUGCAACGCCUCCAGUGAUAACUGCUCCUCCUCUUGAUGUUUCACCUUCCUCAAUCACUGUUGCAUUAGCCUGAACAUUUCCAAAGUUUCUCUUUGGCUUAGUGAACUUGAAAGACGGUGGGUACCCAACAAGUUUAUAACAUUUCUCUUUCUGGUGUCCCUUCUUCUUACAGUAUGAGCAGAAGUUAUUUUUUCUUUCUUCAGUAUUACUGUUAUGAUUUCCACCCCUGUACUCACCGUUAGCUUUCUGUGCAUUCUAUUUUUGUGCAUUAACAUUAUAAGCACUAGGCUGAUCAGUUGACACAUGGUGACCAGAAUGGACCUCUCUUUGAGAUUCUUCAUGUAAAAUGAUUGAAUAAGGUUAUGCUGUAGAAGGAUGGAGCUUUAUCAUGAGGAUGUUUCCCCUUACUCCAGAAUAUCCCUCAUUGAGCCCCAUCAAGAACUAGAUUAGCUUUUGAUCUUCAUUCAUUUUGUGAUUGUGAGUUUUUGCUCCAUAUUUGCACUCACACCCACAAGUUAUGAAAGUAUUAAGAACUUUCAUUUGAUCUCAGAUUCUUUUGAGCCUAGUAAAGUAUGCUGUAACAUCAUUUGUUCCUUGCAAAAUGUUGUUAAGUUCUCUUUGCAGCUGGAACAGCUUUGCACCAUCAGCCUGGCCAUAUCUUUAUUCCAUCUCAGCCCAAAGUUCUUUAGCUGUCUCAGAGUAAAUGACACUCUCUGCUAUAUCCUUGCUUAAGGAGUUUAACAGUCAAGCAAUGACCAUGUCAUUGCAUCUCCUCCACUGUGCAAACAGAGGUGAGUUCUCAACUGGUUUUUGCAUGAACCAUUGAUGAAUCCUAGUUUGUUUUUAGCA
This 1255-nucleotide long non-coding RNA is filed under the name Nicotiana tabacum (common tobacco). Its description in RNAcentral is "long non-coding RNA (NTAB_LNC010647)". The record is from RNAcentral. Lineage: Eukaryota; Viridiplantae; Streptophyta; Magnoliopsida; Solanales; Solanaceae.